GAUGAACGCUGGCGGCGUGCUUAACACAUGCAAGUCGAACGGAAAGGCCGAAGCUUGCUUCGGUACUCGAGUGGCGAACGGGUGAGUAACACGUGGGUGAUCUGCCCUGUACUUCGGGAUAAGCUUGGGAAACUGGGUCUAAUACCGGAUAUGACGAUCUCUUGGAUGGGGUUGUGGAAAGCUUUUGCGGUGUGGGAUGAGCUCGCGGACUAUCAGCUUGUUGGUGGGGUAAUGGCCUACCAAGGCGUCGACGGGUAGCCGGCCUGAGAGGGUGUACGGCCACAUUGGGACUGAGAUACGGACCAGACUCCUACGGGAGGCAGCAGUGGGGAAUAUUGCACAAUGGGCGCAAGCCUGAUGCAGCGACGCCGCGUGGGGGAUGACGGCCUUCGGGUUGUAAACUCCUUUCGCAAUCGACGAAGCCUUUUGGUGACGGUAGGUUGAGAAGAAGCACCGGCUAACUACGUG
This 468-nucleotide ribosomal RNA is filed under the name uncultured bacterium. Its description in RNAcentral is "partial 16S ribosomal RNA". It matches the Rfam family "Bacterial small subunit ribosomal RNA", at positions 28 to 507 of the family's 1533-position model. The record is from RNAcentral.